Non-coding RNA from Gammaproteobacteria bacterium MFB021, 379 nucleotides. NCBI's taxonomy places the organism in Bacteria, Pseudomonadati, Pseudomonadota, Gammaproteobacteria. The record is from Rfam.
GGGGGCGACAUGGCUUCGACGCCGGUGACAAUCCCUGAGGUGCAUGCCGAGAGCGUAACGUAUCUCGUAAAUCCAACGUUACGAUUAAAUAGUCGCAAACGACGAAAACUACGCUCAAGGCGCACUGGCAGCCUAAGAACUGCUAGCUGUUGUCUGGCCUCGAAGCGAUGUGCCCAUUCAUCGCGGAGAGGAUAUGAGCUAAAGCUGAUGGGACCGCGUAUGUCAGCGCUCUCCUGACAUGCGUUAAACCUUAGAGAGAUCGCAAGGUGUCAUCCUGCCCGUCGGAGGUCACUGCGCUAAAUCAAAAGACGGAACUAAGCAUGUAGAGCCGAUGGGUGAGUGCCGGCGGACGGGGGUUCAAUUCCCCCCGCCUCCACCA